GGGAUCAUUACUGAGUGAGGGCCCUCGGGCCCGACCUCCCACCCUUUUGUGAACACAACUUGUUGCUUCGGGGGCGACCCUGCCGUUUCGCGGCGAGCGCCCCCGGAGGCCUUCCAACCCUGCAUCUUUGCGUCGGAGUUUAAGUAAAUUAAACAAAACUUUCAACAACGGAUCUCUUGGUUCUGGCAUCGAUGAAGAACGCAGCGAAAUGCGAUAAGUAAUGUGAAUUGCAGAAUUCAGUGAAUCAUCGAAUCUUUGAACGCACAUUGCGCCCUCUGGUAUUCCGGAGGGCAUGCCUGUUCGAGCGUCAUUUCACCACUCAAGCCUGGCUUGGUAUUGGGCGCCGCGGUGUUCCGCGCGCCUCAAAGUCUCCGGCUGAGCUGUCCGUCUCCAAGCGUCGUGAUUUCAUUAAUCGCUUCGGGGGCGGGCGGCCGCGGCCGUUAAAUCUUUCACCAGGUUGACCUCG
Molecule: ribosomal RNA, 466 nt
Filed under: Mycosphaerella latebrosa
Lineage: Eukaryota; Fungi; Ascomycota; Dothideomycetes; Mycosphaerellales; Mycosphaerellaceae
Description: eukaryotic LSU rRNA
Rfam family: 5.8S ribosomal RNA (bases 157-310)
Source: RNAcentral